Molecule: ribosomal RNA, 253 nt
Filed under: uncultured bacterium
Lineage: Bacteria
Description: partial 16S ribosomal RNA
Rfam family: Bacterial small subunit ribosomal RNA
Source: RNAcentral
UACGGGGGGGGCAAGCGUUGUUCGGAAUUACUGGGCGUAAAGGGCUCGUAGGCGGCCAACUAAGUCCGACGUGAAAUCCCCAGGCUCAACCUGGGAACUGCGUCGGAUACUGGAUGGCUUGAAUUCGGGAGAGGGAUGCAGAAUUCCAGGUGUAGCGGUGAAAUGCGUAGAUAUCAGGAGGAACACCGGUGGCGAAGGCGGUUCUCUGGGCCUUACCUGACGCUGAGGAGCGAAAGCGUGGGGAGCGAACAGG